GAUGAACGCUGGCGGCGUGCCUAACACAUGCAAGUCGAACGAAGCACCUUACCUGAUUCUUCGGAUGAAAGUUUGGUGACUGAGUGGCGGACGGGUGAGUAACGCGUGGGUAACCUGCCCUGUACAGGGGGAUAACAGCUGGAAACGGCUGCUAAUACCGCAUAAGCGCACGAGGAGACAUCUCCUUGUGUGAAAAACUCCGGUGGUACAGGAUGGGCCCGCGUCUGAUUAGCUGGUUGGCAGGGUAACGGCCUACCAAGGCAACGAUCAGUAGCCGGUCUGGGAGGAUGCACGGCCACAUUGGAACUGAGACACGGUCCACACUCCUACGGGAGGCAGCAGUGGGGAAUAUUGCACAAUGGGGGAAACCCUGAUGCAGCAACGCCGCGUGAGUGAAGAAGUAUUUCGGUAUGUAAAGCUCUAUCAGCAGGGAAGAUAAUGACGGUACCUGACUAAGAAGCUCCGGCUAAAUACGUG
This 477-nucleotide ribosomal RNA is filed under the name uncultured bacterium. Its description in RNAcentral is "partial 16S ribosomal RNA". It matches the Rfam family "Bacterial small subunit ribosomal RNA", at positions 28 to 507 of the family's 1533-position model. The record is from RNAcentral.